AGAGUUUGAUCCUGGCUCAGAUUGAACGCUGGCGGCAUGCUUUACACAUGCAAGUCGAGCGGCAGCGCGGGGCAACCUGGCGGCGAGCGGCGAACGGGUGAGGAACCCAUCGGAACGUGCCCGAGAGUGGGGGAUAACGCCGCGAAAGCGGCGCUAAUACCGCAUAUGCUCUGAGGAGGAAAGUGGGGGACCCGCGAGGGCCUCACGCUCACGGUGCGGCCGAUGUCCGAUUAGCUAGUUGGUGGGGUAAAGGCCUACCAAGGCGACGAUCGGUAGCUGGUCUGAGAGGAUGAUCAGCCACACUGGGACUGAGACACGGCCCAGACUCCUACGGGAGGCAGCAGUGGGGAAUUUUGGACAAUGGGGGCAACCCUGAUCCAGCCAUGCCGCGUGCGGGAAGAAGGCCUUCGGGUUGUAAACCGCUUUUAGCCGGGAAGAAAAGGCGAGGGAUAACACCCUUCGUUCUUGACGGUACCGGCGGAAUAAGCACCGGCUAACUA
RNAcentral lists this ribosomal RNA (500 nucleotides) under uncultured bacterium. RNAcentral describes it as "bacterial SSU rRNA". It matches the Rfam family "Bacterial small subunit ribosomal RNA", at positions 8 to 503 of the family's 1533-position model. The record is from RNAcentral.